Molecule: ribosomal RNA, 483 nt
Filed under: uncultured bacterium
Lineage: Bacteria
Description: partial 16S ribosomal RNA
Rfam family: Bacterial small subunit ribosomal RNA
Source: RNAcentral
AUUGAACGCUGGCGGCAGGCCUAACACAUGCAAGUCGAGCGGAUGAAGGGAGCUUGCUCCUGGAUUCAGCGGCGGACGGGUGAGUAAUGCCUAGGAAUCUGCCUGGUAGUGGGGGAUAACGUCCGGAAACGGGCGCUAAUACCGCAUACGUCCUGAGGGAGAAAGUGGGGGAUCUUCGGACCUCACGCUAUCAGAUGAGCCUAGGUCGGAUUAGCUAGUUGGUGGGGUAAAGGCCUACCAAGGCGACGAUCCGUAACUGGUCUGAGAGGAUGAUCAGUCAAACUGGAACGGAGACACGGUCCAGACUCCUACGGGAGGCAGCGGUGGGGAAUAUUGGACAAUGGGCGAAAGCCUGAUCCAGCCAGGCCGCGUGUGUGAAGAAGGUCUUCGGAUUGUAAAGCACUUUAAGUUGGGAGGAAGGGCAGUAAGUUAAUACCUUGCUGUUUUGACGUUACCAACAGAAUAAGCACCGGCUAACUUCGU